GGUCCUGUGGCCCAAUGGAUAAGGCGCCUGACAACGAAUCAGGAGAUUACAGGUUCGAGUCCUGGCAGGAUCG
Molecule: non-coding RNA, 73 nt
Organism: Ciona savignyi (Pacific transparent sea squirt)
Lineage: Eukaryota; Metazoa; Chordata; Ascidiacea; Phlebobranchia; Cionidae
Source: Rfam